RNAcentral lists this ribosomal RNA (253 nucleotides) under uncultured bacterium. Its description in RNAcentral is "partial 16S ribosomal RNA". It matches the Rfam family "Bacterial small subunit ribosomal RNA", at positions 524 to 776 of the family's 1533-position model. The record is from RNAcentral.
UACGAAGGGGGCUAGCGUUGCUCGGAAUCACUGGGCGUAAAGCGCACGUAGGCGGAUCGUUAAGUCAGGGGUGAAAUCCUGGAGCUCAACUCCAGAACUGCCUUUGAUACUGGCGAUCUUGAGUUCGGGAGAGGUGAGUGGAACUGCGAGGGUAGAGGUGAAAUUCGUAGAUAUUCGCAAGAACACCAGUGGCGAAGGCGGCUCACUGGCCCGAUACUGACGCUGAGGUGCGAAAGCGUGGGGAGCAAACAGG